Molecule: ribosomal RNA, 813 nt
Filed under: uncultured Sebacinales
Lineage: Eukaryota; Fungi; Basidiomycota; Agaricomycetes; Sebacinales
Description: eukaryotic LSU rRNA
Rfam family: Eukaryotic large subunit ribosomal RNA (bases 187-813)
Source: RNAcentral
UCUUUCAGUAUGUGGACUUGGAUGCUGCCGUCGAUGUCUACGGCUCGUCUGAAAUGCUUCAGUGUACCCUGCUUUGCGGCGUAUUCGGUGUGAUACAUCUUCACCGGAGUUGAUCCUUUUGAGGGUCGCGUCUGUAAUGUGUGGCUCUAUGCUUCCAACCGUCUCUCGAGACAAUCUCUGACAAUUUGACCUCAAAUCGGGUGGGACUACCCGCUGAACUUAAGCAUAUCAAUAAGCGGAGGAAAAGAAACUAACAAGGAUUCCCCUAGUAACGGCGAGUGAAGAGGGAAAAGCUCAAAUUUUGAAUCUGGUGUCUUUGACUCCCGAGUUGUAAUCUAGAGAAGUGUUUUCCGUGUCGGACCGUGCACAAGUUCCCUGGAACGGGGCGUCAUAGAGGGUGAGAAUCCCGUAUAUGGCACGGACUGCCGAUGCUUUUGUGAUACACUCUCAACGAGUCGAGUUGUUUGGGAAUGCAGCUCAAAAUGGGUGGUAAAUUCCAUCUAAAGCUAAAUAUUGGCGAGAGACCGAUAGCGAACAAGUACCGUGAGGGAAAGAUGAAAAGCACUUUGGAAAGAGAGUGAAACAGUACGUGAAAUUGUUGAAAGGGAAGCGUUUGAAGUCAGUCGUAUCUGGUGGGAUUCAGCCAGGCUUCUGCCCGGUGUACUUCUCGUCUGAUGGGUCAGCAUCAAUUUCGACCGGGGGAAAAAGAUGUGGGGAAUGUGGCUGCCUUCGGGCAGUGUUAUAGCCCCAUGUUGUAUGCCUCGGUUGGGAUUGAGGAACGCAGCGCGCCUAUAGGCCAGGGGCUACCCGCCU